CCCAGACGGUCACACUACAGUCACGAAUCCCUGUGAGCCCUUUGUCCUGCUGUGUUUUAUUUUUGGCAAGGGUUGGGGGCCUGAACCUUGAAGAAGCUGCAUUUUAUUCAUAUUUGGGUCAAUACAGUAGUCAAGUAGGCACCUGAGAACAGACGAUACUGGAGUAUACAGGCCCUGGAGGUUUCACAGAAAUCGUGGGGUGCACCUUGGCAAUCCACUAGGCAUGGGCUUGAGCUGGAGUCUACAGGCGCAGAGAAACACCAGCCGACAUCUGGUGGCAUAUCAAAAACAAUUCCUCAUGCCUGUAACAUCUGACUUAAUAGCUGAAGUGGACACCAAGUUGUCUCUGUUUGCUUGGAGAUCUCGUUUUGUAUGCUUGUCUCCGCCUAGAUGGUCGAAGACGUUGCACGGUGAGGAGCCUGGGGAGCCUAGACCAGCUGCAGGUCAGACCAAGCAGGAAAGUACUGAGUCCAGAAAACUGUGAAUGGGGACCGACUUGGGGGCCCAAUCAGGGCGGCAGCAUCGACCACAGAAGUAGGGACCAUCAGGGUGGAGAACAGGUGGAGGGCUUGAUGUGCAAGGACACAGUGCGGCUGGAGGCCGUGGGAGGGCUGCUGCCAUCAUGGGGAUGGAGGACAUCUCCAGAAGCACAGAGGCUUCUUCUUGUCUCAGGAGAGCAUUGUAGCCAUGUGCAGCUUGUUGAUGGAGAGACCUGGGUUCUCCACUGGCAAUCAUAUCCUGGGAUGUUUGAUACAGGUCUUGAAGGGCCUAGUUCAUCAGCUGGAAUCUGGCUCUUUUGGAGGGGGACAGAGGCCAGGUACUUUUGGUGAUGGUGCUUUCUAAGUUUUGCACGUCUAAGUCAAAACAUGGGAAUAAUCAUGGACUCUUUGGAUCUGCUUGAAUACCUCCAGUGAUGGGCAGUUCUCUGUCCUGAGGUUUCCCUCUGGAAAGAGUGAUAACUGGAUUUCUGGGAAGCUCUUUCUCUUGCUCCAUAAUUGAGGUCCCACCCAUGAUUCCAUGAGAUCAUGUCCCCGGGCUCCGGACAAUAAUGACACCACGAGGCCUGGACUGCUCCAUGGUCAGUGGUGAGGCUUGAGGACAAGAGGGACAAUCUGGUUGACCUUAUGAACAAUCAUCUUGGGCUGGCCCUUUUACUCAAGGGUCAACCUAAAUUUGCCUUCUUCUGGGACCCCUCUGAAUUCGCAUUCUCUCAGCCUCACGGCUGAUGAGUAGUUGUUAAAAGCUAGCCACGCCACAGCUGACCACAGACACCUGAAGGAUCCCAGCCGAGACCAAGAGAACAACCCAGAAGAGCAUCUGAGCCCAGCCCCAAUGCCAACGCACAGGAUCAGAGACUAAAUAAAUGGUUUUUGUUUUA
This is a long non-coding RNA of Mustela lutreola (European mink), 1378 nucleotides long. RefSeq lists it as uncharacterized. NCBI's taxonomy places the organism in Eukaryota, Metazoa, Chordata, Mammalia, Carnivora, Mustelidae. The record is from RefSeq and is a predicted model, not a curated record. The transcript is spliced from 2 exons.